UCUGGAGGAGAAUUUGUUUCUUGUUUUUUCCAGCUUCUAGAGAUGCCUUGGCAUCCAAGUCACAUCACUCUAUACAUUUUUUUUUUUUUUUUUGAGACUGAGUCUCGCUGUGUCACCCAGGCUGGAGUACAGUGGCACAAUCUCGGCUCACUGCAACCUCCGCCUCCCAGGAGAAUUGCCUGAACCCAGGAGGCGGAGGUUGCGGUGAGCUGAGAUCGCGCCAUUGCACUCCAGCCUGGGUAACAAGG
Molecule: long non-coding RNA, 248 nt
Filed under: Callithrix jacchus (white-tufted-ear marmoset)
Lineage: Eukaryota; Metazoa; Chordata; Mammalia; Primates; Cebidae
Description: lncRNA (ENSCJAG00000071438.1)
Source: RNAcentral